RNAcentral lists this long non-coding RNA (434 nucleotides) under Hordeum vulgare. Its description in RNAcentral is "long non-coding RNA (HVUL_LNC009158)". The record is from RNAcentral. Lineage: Eukaryota; Viridiplantae; Streptophyta; Magnoliopsida; Poales; Poaceae.
UCUUAUUUGAAGUUUCUUUCGGAAUUCCUAUUUGCUUUCUUCUUCAUUUUGAUUGCUAGAAUGAUUGCUAGUAUGAGUGCUUAUGUGAAUGAUAUGUUUGCUAUAUAGAUUUCAUCGGAGAGUGACGAGUAGUCUAUCAAGUUUUUUUCUUGAGAAAUUCUUCUUCGUCAACAUCACCAGGCAAAUCACUUUGAUCAUACUAUCACCUAUGUUUUAUGCAUCGUAGUUCUACCAUCCUAUGCCCUAUUGCAUGCUGAGUAGGUACUUGGAAAUUUUAGUAUAGUUUGUAGUAUCAUGUCGUAGGCACACAACGACCCCGAUACUUGGCCCCGGGACGACAAAUUUCAUAUUUCUAUGCUUGAGUAGACGGGAUAUCGGUUGAGUGCAUAACACGAGUGAUGCGAGGUUGAUUAAUAAUCAAGACCGGUUAAGAC